UAGAAAGUUACUUCGGUACAUCGGUGACAGGUGGUGCAUGGUUGUCGUCAGCUCGUGUCGUGAGAUGUUGGGUUAAGUCCCGCAACGAGCGCAACCCCUAUUGUUAGUUGCCAUCAUUCAGUUGGGCACUCUAGCGAGACUGCCGGUAAUAAACCGGAGGAAGGUGGGAUGACGUCAAAUCAUCAUGCCCCUUAUGACCUGGGCUACACACGUGCUACAAUGGUUGGUACAACGAAUUGCGAGUCGGUGACGGCGAGCUAAUCUCUUAAAGCCAAUCUCAGUUCGGAUUGUAGGCUGCAACUCGCCUACAUGAAGUCGGAAUCGCUAGUAAUCGCGGAUCAGCACGCCGCGGUGAAUACGUUCCCGGGCCUU
RNAcentral lists this ribosomal RNA (372 nucleotides) under uncultured Streptococcus sp. RNAcentral's name for it is "bacterial SSU rRNA". It matches the Rfam family "Bacterial small subunit ribosomal RNA", at positions 1008 to 1382 of the family's 1533-position model. Lineage: Bacteria; Bacillati; Bacillota; Bacilli; Lactobacillales; Streptococcaceae. The record is from RNAcentral.